UACACUCCUACGGGAGGCAGCAGUGGGGAAUUUUGGACAAUGGGCGAAAGCCUGAUCCAGCAAUGCCGCGUGUGUGAAGAAGGCCUUCGGGUUGUAAAGCACUUUUGUCCGGAAAGAAAUCCUUGGCUCUAAUACAGUCGGGGGAUGACGGUACCGGAAGAAUAAGCACCGGCUAGCUACGUGCCAGCAGCCGCGGUAAUACGUAGGGUGCGAGCGUUAAUCGGAAUUACUGGGCGUAAAGCGUGCGCAGGCGGUUUGCUAAGACCGAUGUGAAAUCCCCGGGCUCAACCUGGGAACUGCAUUGGUGACUGGCAGGCUAGAGUAUGGCAGAGGGGGGUAGAAUUCCACGUGUAGCAGUGAAAUGCGUAGAGAUGUGGAGGAAUACCGAUGGCGAAGGCAGCCCCCUGGGCCAAUACUGACGCUCAUGCACGAAAGCGUGGGGAGCAAACAGGAUUAGAUACCCGGGUAGUCCC
Molecule: ribosomal RNA, 473 nt
Filed under: uncultured organism
Description: partial 16S ribosomal RNA
Rfam family: Bacterial small subunit ribosomal RNA
Source: RNAcentral